UUAUCAUGCACGCGAGUCAAUGGGUCGAUCGAAACCCAAGGACGCAGUGAAAGUGACGUCCUAAUUUGUUCUCGGAACGUGAGAUGCCACUGUUCCUCGCAAUUCGCCUUGCGCGUAUAGCACUGGGCACCAUAGCAAUGGUCGCAUCACCAGCUCGUCCCAUGAUGCGGCUUUGGAAAGGUGUGGAUCGUUUUGCGGUCUGUGUUGGAGCCAGCGCGUUCAUGAUAAGACCCGAAAGAUGGUGAACCAUGCUUGCGUAGGUUGAAGCUGGAGAAAACUCUGGUGGAGGACCGCAGCAAUUCUGACGUGAAAAUCGAUAGUCAGACGUGAGUAUUGGGGCGAAAGACUAAUCGAGCCAUCUAGUAGCAUG
This 370-nucleotide non-coding RNA is filed under the name Schistocephalus solidus. Its description in RNAcentral is "Eukaryotic large subunit ribosomal RNA". It matches the Rfam family "Eukaryotic large subunit ribosomal RNA", at positions 675 to 953 of the family's 3401-position model. The record is from Rfam by way of RNAcentral. Lineage: Eukaryota; Metazoa; Platyhelminthes; Cestoda; Diphyllobothriidea; Diphyllobothriidae.